ACGUAGGGGACAAGCGUUAUUCGGAAUUACUGGGCGUAAAGGGCAUGUAGGCGGCUUUGUAAGCCUGGCGUGAAAGUCCACAGCUCAACUGUGGGAUUGCGUCGGGAACUGCAGGGCUUGAGUCAUGGAGAGGAAGGUAGAAUUCCUGGUGUAGGGGUGAAAUCUGUAGAGAUCAGGAAGAAUACCAGUGGCGAAGGCGACCUUCUGGCCAAUGACUGACGCUGAGGUGCGAAAGUGUGGGGAUCAAACAG
Molecule: ribosomal RNA, 251 nt
Filed under: uncultured prokaryote
Description: partial 16S rRNA
Rfam family: Bacterial small subunit ribosomal RNA
Source: RNAcentral